This 484-nucleotide ribosomal RNA is filed under the name uncultured bacterium. Its description in RNAcentral is "partial 16S ribosomal RNA". It matches the Rfam family "Bacterial small subunit ribosomal RNA", at positions 29 to 507 of the family's 1533-position model. The record is from RNAcentral.
AGUGAACGCUGGCGGCAUGCUUUACACAUGCAAGUCGAACGGCAGCGCGGUAUGCGCUCGCUCGGAGAGGGGCCAACGGGUGAACAAUUCAUCGGAACGUGCCCAGCAGUGGUGGAUUGCGGGGCGAAAGCCGGAUUAAUACGGCAUUCGACCAUAGGGCCAAAGGGUGGGAGCUUCGGAUCUUCGGACAUUGCACGGGCCGAUGACCGAUUAGCUAGUUGGUGGGGUAAAGGCCUACCAAGGCGACGAUCCGUAGCUGGUCUGAGAGGAUGACCAGCCACACUGGGACUGAGACACGGCCCAGACUCCUACGGGAGGCAGCAGUGGGGAAUUUUGGACAAUGGGCGCAAGCCUGAUCCAGCAAUACCGCGUGUGUGAUGAAGGCCUUCGGGUUGUAAAGCCCUUUUGUCGGGAAAGAAAAGGACUGUGCCAAUACCACGGUGCGCUGACGGUACCCGAAGAAUAAGCACCGGCUAACUACGUG